GCAAGACCUAGUCCUAAAACACAACUAAUCAAACUAUCUGACCAACCCUUCAAAACAUUAAUUAAUCUUACUAUAGGUGAUAGAACAGAUAUUAAUAGGCACUAUAAGGAAAGUACCGUGAGGGAAAUUUGAAAGAUCCUUUAAAAACCUGCAAGAUUACACCUUAUACCUUUUGCAUAAUGAUUUAGCUAGUCUAACCGGACAAAAAGAAUUAAAGCCCGUCCUCCCGAAAUUAAGUGAGCUAUUGUAGAACAGUUGACAGAACGAACUCGUCUAUGUGGCAAAAUAGUGAGAUGAUUUUACAAUAGAGGUGAAAAGCCUAUCCGAACUUAAUGAUAGCUGGUUGCCCAAAAAACGAAUUUAAGUUCAACUUUAAAUUUAAUUAAAGUACCAAUAAACCUGACUUAAAUUUAAAUGAUACUCAAAAGGGGGACAUCUCUUUUGAUACGUAAACAAACUUAUUUAGAGGAUAAUGAAAAUCUUACAAAAUCAUUGUAGGCCUAAAAGCAGCCACCAAUUAAGAAAGCGUUAAAGCUCAAACUUAUAUAAUACUUAAUUCCAAGAAUCCAUCAAAAUCCCUAAAAUAAAUAUUGGGCAAUUCUAUAAUUAUAUAGAAGAUAUAAUGCUAAUAUUAGUAACAUGAAUUAAUUCUCCUUGCAUAAACAUAAUUUAGCCUGGAACACCCACUACUACUUAAUCAAACUAAUAGAUAAACCCAUAUACUAGCCUUCUAUUACAAUCAUUGUUAACCCAACCCAGGCAUGCACUUAAGGAAAGAUUAAAAGGAAUAAAAGGAACUCGGCAAACACAAGCCCCGCCUGUUUACCAAAAACAUCACCUCUAGCAUUAACAAGUAUUAGAGGCACUGCCUGCCCGGUGAGUUCUCACUUUAACGGCCGCGGUAUCCUGACCGUGCAAAGGUAGCAUAAUCACUUGUCUCUUAAAUGGGGACUAGUAUGAAUGGCAUCACGAGGCCUUAACUGUCUCUUAUUCCCAAUCAGUGAAAUUGACCUUCCCGUGCAGAGGCGGGAAUAAUAAUACAAGACGAGAAGACCCUGUGGAGCUUAAGACUCACAACUCAACGCAUACCCUUGCUUACCCUACUGGAACAAAAAUGUAUAAUGCCAUGAAUUGUAGUCUUUGGUUGGGGUGACCUCGGAGCAUAGAACAACCUCCGAAUGAAAUAACCCAAGAUUUACCCAUCUAAGUGUACCACUACCAGUAAUUGACCCAUCUUUUGAUCAACGGAACAAGUUACCCCAGGGAUAACAGCGCAAUCCUAUUUGAGAGCUCAUAUCGAAAAUUAGGGUUUACGACCUCGAUGUUGGAUCAGGACAUCCAAAUGGUGCAGCCGCUAUUAAUGGUUCGUUUGUUCAACGAUUAAAGUCCUACGUGAUCUGAGUUCAGACCGGAGAAAUCCAGGUCGGUUUCUAUCUGUACGUGAUUUCUCCCAGUACGAAAGGACAAGAGAAAUGGGGCCAACAUAUCCAAUG
RNAcentral lists this ribosomal RNA (1493 nucleotides) under Sminthopsis virginiae (red-cheeked dunnart). Its description in RNAcentral is "16S ribosomal RNA". It matches the Rfam family "Bacterial large subunit ribosomal RNA", at positions 174 to 2723 of the family's 2925-position model. Lineage: Eukaryota; Metazoa; Chordata; Mammalia; Dasyuromorphia; Dasyuridae. The record is from RNAcentral.